Aricia agestis (brown argus) is the source of this 172-nucleotide long non-coding RNA. RefSeq lists it as uncharacterized. The transcript has 3 exons. NCBI's taxonomy places the organism in Eukaryota, Metazoa, Arthropoda, Insecta, Lepidoptera, Lycaenidae. The record is from RefSeq and is a predicted model, not a curated record.
CCAUCGAGGAUAUUGAUUCCUAUGCAGUUGACCGACCUACGUCAUGUGGUCGGCUUAUGUCAAUUCGAUGCUAGCUGUGAUCGAUCGGAUGGGUUUGACAUAACUUGACCAAAUUACUCAGGUUCGCAUCUGCCUAGGAAUCAACUUUUCUGAUAUAGACGAUAUUACAUAA